ACUCCUACGGGAGGCAGCAGUAAGGAAUAUUGGUCAAUGGACGAAAGUCUGAACCAGCCAUCCCGCGUGCAGGAUGACGGCCCUAUGGGUUGUAAACUGCUUUUAGCAGAGACGAAACGCUGUCAUUUAUGAUGGUCUGACGGUAUCUGCAGAAUAAGCACCGGCUAACUCCGUGCCAGCAGCCGCGGUAAUACGGAGGGUGCAAGCGU
Molecule: ribosomal RNA, 209 nt
Filed under: uncultured bacterium
Lineage: Bacteria
Description: partial 16S ribosomal RNA
Rfam family: Bacterial small subunit ribosomal RNA
Source: RNAcentral